CACGUAGGGUGCGAGCGUUGUCCGGAAUUAUUGGGCGUAAAGAGCGCGUAGGCGGUGUGUCGCGUCGGCCGUGAAAACCUGCAGCUUAACUGUGGGCGUGCGGUCGAUACGGGCAUCACUGGAGUUCGGCAGGGGAGACUGGAAUUCCUGGUGUAGCGGUGAAAUGCGCAGAUAUCAGGAGGAACACCGGUGGCGAAGGCGGGUCUCUGGGCCGAUACUGACGCUGAGGCGCGAAAGCGUGGGGAGCGAACAGG
This 254-nucleotide ribosomal RNA is filed under the name uncultured bacterium. RNAcentral's name for it is "partial 16S ribosomal RNA". It matches the Rfam family "Bacterial small subunit ribosomal RNA", at positions 524 to 776 of the family's 1533-position model. The record is from RNAcentral.